GGUCUCCACCCGGCCCUAUCGUAGGGCUGUCCGCACGACCUAUGGUCUCUUCCCGGGUGCGACUCGGGGAACGUUCCCGGCGGACUUGGCAGGGCCUAGCCACAAGGGGUUAUGAUCCCCGGCGCAGGGCUCGCGCUGCGGUUCCAAGAGGAUGACUGGCCCCUGCCCGCGCCAAACGGUCUUCCCAGGCCCGCAUCUUUGCUUCUGUGAGGAGCGGGACCCCGGAAUGGCCGAGAAGGGCAAUUAAGAGGGCGAGACGGGUCAGAGGACGUCCGCCCUGGCUUCUGAACUGGCCGAGAUGGAGCAGGGUUUCACAUUGGUGACCGGUGCUAUGCUCGCCAGUUAACCGUGGCAGCUUUUCUCUGCGGGCGUAUGUUUUUGGGAAAUGCUGGAAUAGUCGGGGACGCUGAAGUUCUCAAUGUCUUUGUGGGACUCUCCUCUUUCAAGAGAGGGGGACUGAGAAGCAGAGAUUAUGGCUGCUGUGUUUUUUGCAGUUGGACCUUUGGUAAGUCAUUCUCCUCCAUUUCUGAUUGCUCUUUUGUUUUCAGAGCUUA
This 554-nucleotide long non-coding RNA is filed under the name Ictidomys tridecemlineatus (thirteen-lined ground squirrel). Its description in RNAcentral is "lncRNA (ENSSTOG00000032656.1)". The record is from RNAcentral. Lineage: Eukaryota; Metazoa; Chordata; Mammalia; Rodentia; Sciuridae.